Molecule: transfer RNA, 73 nt
Filed under: Gempylus serpens (snake mackerel)
Lineage: Eukaryota; Metazoa; Chordata; Actinopteri; Scombriformes; Gempylidae
Description: tRNA-Asp
Rfam family: tRNA
About the family: Transfer RNA (tRNA) molecules are approximately 80 nucleotides in length. Their secondary structure includes four short double-helical elements and three loops (D, anti-codon, and T loops).
Source: RNAcentral
AAGACGCUAGUAAAAUGGACUAUUACAAUGCCUUGUCAAGGCAUAAUUGCGGGUUAGAGCCCCGCGCGUCUUG